CGGGAAAAGCUCAAAUUUAAAAUCUGGUGGCCGAAAGGUUGCCCGAGUUGUAAUCUGGAGAAGCGUUUUCCGCGUUGGACCGUGUACAAGUCUUCUGGAAUGGAGCGUCAUAGAGGGUGAGAAUCCCGUCUUUGACACGGACUACCAAUGCUUUGUGAUACGCUCUCGAA
Molecule: ribosomal RNA, 170 nt
Filed under: Atheliaceae sp.
Lineage: Eukaryota; Fungi; Basidiomycota; Agaricomycetes; Atheliales; Atheliaceae
Description: partial large subunit ribosomal RNA
Rfam family: Eukaryotic large subunit ribosomal RNA
Source: RNAcentral